AAUGGUGAAAGACUGGUUAAUGAUGAGAAAGCCUGCAGAAGGAAAGAAUGCUUCAUGGACCAUUGGUUCUUUGGGUGUUUCAGGCAGUUUUAAAUUAUUAGUUUUUACAAUCAAU
Molecule: microRNA precursor, 115 nt
Filed under: Fukomys damarensis (Damara mole-rat)
Lineage: Eukaryota; Metazoa; Chordata; Mammalia; Rodentia; Bathyergidae
Description: miRNA (ENSFDAG00000002826.1)
Source: RNAcentral